UACAGAGGUCUCAAGCGUUGUUCGGAUUCAUUGGGCGUAAAGGGUGCGUAGGCGGCGCGGUAAGUCGGGUGUGAAAUCCCCGGGCUCAACCUGGGAACCGCGCUUGAGACUGGCACGCUAGAGUUCGGGAGAGGAUGGUGGAAUUCCCAGUGUAGAGGUGAAAUUCGUAGAUAUUGGGAAGAACACCGAUGGCGAAGGCAGCCAUCUGGACCGACACUGACGCUGAGGCGCGAAAGCGUGGGGAGCAAACAGG
RNAcentral lists this ribosomal RNA (253 nucleotides) under uncultured bacterium. RNAcentral describes it as "partial 16S ribosomal RNA". It matches the Rfam family "Bacterial small subunit ribosomal RNA", at positions 524 to 776 of the family's 1533-position model. The record is from RNAcentral.